GGUUUGGUGGUCUAGUGGUAUGACAUCUGCUUCACAUCACCGGUGCGCAGAAGAUCCAGAGUUCAAUUCUCUGUCUAACCA
Eremomyces bilateralis CBS 781.70 is the source of this 81-nucleotide non-coding RNA. Lineage: Eukaryota; Fungi; Ascomycota; Dothideomycetes; Eremomycetales; Eremomycetaceae. The record is from the annotation of a RefSeq genome assembly.